AGUUAUUUAGCUUAUUUAAAGCAAUUGUUUUGAAAGCAAAAGAAAGAUUAUUAUUUAAUGACUU
This 64-nucleotide transfer RNA is filed under the name Zyginella minuta. Its description in RNAcentral is "tRNA-Ser". Lineage: Eukaryota; Metazoa; Arthropoda; Insecta; Hemiptera; Cicadellidae. The record is from RNAcentral.